This 807-nucleotide long non-coding RNA is filed under the name Lathyrus oleraceus (garden pea). RNAcentral describes it as "Pisum sativum (pea) long non-coding RNA (PSAT_LNC001170)". The record is from RNAcentral. Lineage: Eukaryota; Viridiplantae; Streptophyta; Magnoliopsida; Fabales; Fabaceae.
GAAUUUAUUUUACUUUACUUAAAGGCUCUUUAGAACUUUAGAUAAGUGGCUUUUGGAAAUGUUAGUAAUAUAGUCAUUAAAGUAAUACAAGAGAGCAAAUCAGCUAGAAGCAAAAUAGCAAUGAUGUGGAUUUAUCGAAUGAUGCGAUACUUUCGGCUGAGGUGUACUAUCAGCUUACCAACAAAAAUUCAAUAACACACCAUAAACAAACUCUCUUACUUCACACUAAAACCACACAUCAUAUCCUUCUCUCAUAUCUCCAUAUCUUAUUCUCUCUCUCGGAAUAAAGGAAAAAUGGGUUUUGCUUGAUUAAGAAAACCAAACGAUACCGCGAUGAUUCCAUCCUCUCUCAUAUUAACAUUUCAUUAUCAUACCACUAGCGCCACCAUUCAUAAAACAUAUAUCUUCAGCAACAUAAAUUCCUCUCUCAAUCUCAAAUAAGAAAGAAGAUAAAAAGCCUCACUUGCUCGACGGAAAGCCUACGCAACAAGGAUCAUUGGAACUCCAAGGUAUUUGUUCUCACCAUUAUUUUUAACAUUUCAUUUACAUGUGUACGAUUGUGUUUUCAGGUAGGUGUUAGAGUGGAGAAGUUGUUCCCUUUUUGUUGUUUGUGAUAUUCGUUUUGGGCUUGCUAUACUUGCAUUUUUAUGAGUUAUAAGAGAUGAUGAACAGUGCCCGGUGUAAAAAAGUAUAACAUGUUUUACAGAUAGUAUGAAACAUACUUUUGUUUUUCUCUAGCAUUUUUCGUUGUCUUUGUUGUGUUACUAUUUAUUUUUUAGUUUGUUAUGGAGUUAUGUGUGUGGAUUN